CGCGGCCUAUCAGCUUGUUGGUGAGGUAGUGGCUCACCAAGGCUUUGACGGGUAGCCGGCCUGAGAGGGUGACCGGCCACACUGGGACUGAGACACGGCCCAGACUCCUACGGGAGGCAGCAGUGGGGAAUAUUGCACAAUGGGCGAAAGCCUGAUGCAGCGACGCCGCGUGAGGGAUGACGGCCUUCGGGUUGUAAACCUCUUUCAGUAGGGACGAAGCGAGAGUGACGGUACCUGCAGAAGAAGCACCGGCUAACUACGUGCCAGCAGCCGCGGUAAUACGUAGGGUGCGAGCGUUGUCCGGAAUUAUUGGGCGUAAAGAGCUUGUAGGCGGUUUGUCGCGUCUGCUGUGAAAGACCGGGGCUUAACUCCGGUUCUGCAGUGGGUACGGGCAGGCUAGAGUAUGGUAGGGGAGACUGGAAUUCCUGGUGUAGCGGUGAAAUGCGCAGAUAUCAGGAGGAACACCGAUGGCGAAGGCAGGUCUCUGGGCCAUUACUGACGCUGAGAAGCGAAAGCAUGGGGAGCAAACAGGAUUAGAUACCCUGGUAGUCCAUGCCGUAAACGUUGGGCGCUAGGUGUGGGACUCAUUCCACGAGUUCCGUGCCGCAGCUAACGCAUUAAGCGCCCCGCCUGGGGAGUACGG
This 643-nucleotide ribosomal RNA is filed under the name uncultured bacterium. Its description in RNAcentral is "bacterial SSU rRNA". It matches the Rfam family "Bacterial small subunit ribosomal RNA", at positions 232 to 885 of the family's 1533-position model. The record is from RNAcentral.